This 245-nucleotide ribosomal RNA is filed under the name uncultured bacterium. RNAcentral's name for it is "partial small subunit ribosomal RNA". It matches the Rfam family "Bacterial small subunit ribosomal RNA", at positions 26 to 285 of the family's 1533-position model. The record is from RNAcentral.
AGAAUCAACGCUGGCGGCGUGCCUAACACAUGCAAGUCGCACGAGAAAGGGGAGCAAUCCCUGAGUAAAGUGGCGCACGGGUGAGUAACACGUGAAUGAUCUACCUCCGAGUGGGGAAUAACUGAGAGAAAUCUUAGCUAAUACCGCAUAACACUUACGAGUCAAAGCAGCAAUGCGCUUGGAGAGGAGUUCGCGGCCGAUUAGCUAGUUGGCGGGGUAAUGGCCCACCAAGGCAGUGAUCUGUA